GAGUUGCUUGAGUCACAUUUUUGCAUGGUUCUUGAUUGACUUUCUGGUGCUCUGCCUGGAGGUCUUUGCUUAUCUGUGAGUUGCCUGAGUCACAUUUUUACAUGGUUCUGGUGCUCUGCCUGCAGGUCAAGAAGGAGCCAGUAUCUCCAGGAGGAGUGAGAGAGUGCUCUGCCAGUGUGAAGUGUGAAUCCUUGAGAGGCUGUGGCAAGGGUCCAUGCCUGAAUGUGUAGAACAAGAACAGCUGGAGGCUGUGGCUUUCUCCAGGAAGAGGUUUCUAAAUCUGCCUCUUAGAAGAUAUCAGAAAGUUAAAGUUUCUCUUGCUGCCGCCGUGUAAGAAGGACCUUUUGCCUCCCACCAUGAUUCUAAGUCCUCCCCAGCCACGUGGAACUAUAUCAGGUGGCUUCUUCAAAUGAUUUUUAAGUAUCUCGAUGAUGAUGAAGAACAAAGACAUCAAUCAGGAUUCAGGAAGACAGCUUUUGCGGAAAAUGCUUAAAGGGAAGCAUCAAGGAUUGGUGUUGAUAUUUGAAAGUUUAAGAGUGGUAUACUUUUAUUCAGUCAACACAUGACAAAUGUAAAAGGCACUCAUUUGUUGUUCCUGGAAGAAGCCUGGCAGCAUUCCAUUCAGACAUCUGCCCUUUCAUCGUCCCACUUUUUACUUAUUGCAGUCCUUUCAGUCUGAAUAUUUCCUCCUGACGCAUCUUCUGCCGUCCGAAAUGACUCCCUGCUCCCAGAUCCUGUAGCCCUUAUUAUUGACACCUUUCAUUUAGAAAUUUAGCACAUGUCACAUUACACCAUUAUUGAAUAAAUAAUGAAUAAAUAAAUAAAUAAAGAUGUAUGUCCUUCCCAAGUAUA
Long non-coding RNA from Homo sapiens (human), 852 nucleotides. Ensembl annotates it as long intergenic non-protein coding RNA 2384. Lineage: Eukaryota; Metazoa; Chordata; Mammalia; Primates; Hominidae. The record is from Ensembl.